AGAACGAACGCUGGCGGCAUGCCUAAUACAUGCAAGUCGAACGAACACUUCGGUGUUAGUGGCGCACGGGUGCGUAACGCGUGGGAAUCUGCCCUUGGGUUCGGAAUAACAGUUGGAAACGACUGCUAAUACCGGAUGAUGACGAAAGUCCAAAGAUUUAUCGCCCAGGGAUGAGCCCGCGUAGGAUUAGCUAGUUGGUGAGGUAAAGGCUCACCAAGGCGACGAUCCUUAGCUGGUCUGAGAGGAUGAUCAGCCACACUGGGACUGAGACACGGCCCAGACUCCUACGGGAGCAGCAGUAGGGAAUAUUGGACAAUGGGCGCAAGCCUGAUCCAGCAAUCGCCGCGUGAGUGAUGAAGGCCUUA
This 365-nucleotide ribosomal RNA is filed under the name uncultured soil bacterium. RNAcentral describes it as "bacterial SSU rRNA". It matches the Rfam family "Bacterial small subunit ribosomal RNA", at positions 26 to 419 of the family's 1533-position model. The record is from RNAcentral.